AGUGAACGCUGGCGGUAGGCCUAACACAUGCAAGUCGAACGGCAGCACAGUAAGAGCUUGCUCUUACGGGUGGCGAGUGGCGGACGGGUGAGGAAUACAUCGGAAUCUACUUUUUCGUGGGGGAUAACGUAGGGAAACUUACGCUAAUACCGCAUACGACCUACGGGUGAAAGCAGGGGAUCUUCGGACCUUGCGCGAUUGAAUGAGCCGAUGUCGGAUUAGCUAGUUGGCGGGGUAAAGGCCCACCAAGGCGGCGAUCCGUAGCUGGUCUGAGAGGAUGAUCAGCCACAAUGGAACUGAGAAACGGGCCAAACCCCCACGGGAGGGGACGGUGGGGAAUAUUGGAAAAGGGGGGCAAGCCUGAUCCAGCCCUACCCGGGGGGGUAAGAAGGCCUUCGGGGUUGAAAGGCCGUUUUGUGGGAAAAAAAAGCCGGAGGGUUAAACCCCCCCGGUUUGACGGUACCCAAAAAAAAAGGAACGGCUAACUUCGUG
This 492-nucleotide ribosomal RNA is filed under the name uncultured bacterium. RNAcentral's name for it is "partial 16S ribosomal RNA". It matches the Rfam family "Bacterial small subunit ribosomal RNA", at positions 29 to 507 of the family's 1533-position model. The record is from RNAcentral.